AGGGUUAACAAACUGAGCAGGAAAACAUUCAGACGCCCUGACCACAGAGCCCAACCUUACAUCAGAGCCGUAUGUGUGGAGAACCAGGGCCGUCCGGAAUAACGCACACUACAAGACUGCAAAACAGUACCCCUCCACAUAAUGAUCAGGACACCGUACGAUCCCAGACGUUUUUGGAAUGUUUAAGCAGUAUCGACCUCCCAGAACAACAAAAACCCGGAGCUUUGUGCAACAGUGGAGAGUCAGAACCGAUCUUCAUCAGCGGCCCUGCAACAACACCGAGUGAGUGGCUGCCUCGCGAUUUCUCUGAUGUUUUUGAGUAUAGUAUAUCAGAUUUCGAUCUAGUUCAUAUACCCACCACCCCAGAAUGUGCCAGAAAUAGCGUUGAUUCACACCAGGGGCGAUUCUAGGAUCAGAGCUUUGGGGGUGCUGAGCACCCAGAGAGCUGCCCAGGCAGGCAAGAUAAACUUUACACGUCACGAUGAGACUUCUUCCCUGUCUCUGUCAGUCCC
This is a long non-coding RNA of Oreochromis aureus, 512 nucleotides long. The record is from Ensembl. Lineage: Eukaryota; Metazoa; Chordata; Actinopteri; Cichliformes; Cichlidae.